Molecule: ribosomal RNA, 469 nt
Filed under: Caulobacter sp.
Lineage: Bacteria; Pseudomonadati; Pseudomonadota; Alphaproteobacteria; Caulobacterales; Caulobacteraceae
Description: bacterial SSU rRNA
Rfam family: Bacterial small subunit ribosomal RNA
Source: RNAcentral
UGCCGCGUGAAUGAUGAAGGUCUUAGGAUUGUAAAAUUCUUUCACCGGGGACGAUAAUGACGGUACCCGGAGAAGAAGCCCCGGCUAACUUCGUGCCAGCAGCCGCGGUAAUACGAAGGGGGCUAGCGUUGCUCGGAAUUACUGGGCGUAAAGGGAGCGUAGGCGGACUGUUUAGUCAGAGGUGAAAGCCCAGGGCUCAACCUUGGAAUUGCCUUUGAUACUGGCAGUCUUGAGUACGGAAGAGGUAUGUGGAACUCCGAGUGUAGAGGUGAAAUUCGUAGAUAUUCGGAAGAACACCAGUGGCGAAGGCGACAUACUGGUCCGUUACUGACGCUGAGGCUCGAAAGCGUGGGGAGCAAACAGGAUUAGAUACCCUGGUAGUCCACGCCGUAAACGAUGAGUGCUAGUUGUCGGCAUGCAUGCAUGUCGGUGACGCAGCUAACGCAUUAAGCACUCCGCCUGGGGAGUA